CUAUAUAUAUACGUACGAUCUGGCAACCAUCUUGCAUGGGAACACGUCUCACGCAUCCAUAAUCCGUUAGUUGGUACGAGUAUCAAAGCAGGUUUGAUGCUGUUCUGCACCUAAACUCUUUUUUGCGUAAAAUGCACCUAAAUUCUUCAGAUUCGUAUCUUUUACACGAAAAAAUGAUUCAUCCUUUUUUUUCUCCGCAUUGCACAAUUCUCAAAGCACUCCAAUCAUCUUCUUCUAUCCACUUGCAUAGAUCCCAAAGCCGCC
RNAcentral lists this long non-coding RNA (264 nucleotides) under Elaeis guineensis (African oil palm). Its description in RNAcentral is "long non-coding RNA (EGUI_LNC004223)". Lineage: Eukaryota; Viridiplantae; Streptophyta; Magnoliopsida; Arecales; Arecaceae. The record is from RNAcentral.